RNAcentral lists this ribosomal RNA (1247 nucleotides) under 'Catharanthus roseus' phytoplasma. RNAcentral's name for it is "bacterial SSU rRNA". It matches the Rfam family "Bacterial small subunit ribosomal RNA", at positions 153 to 1399 of the family's 1533-position model. Lineage: Bacteria; Bacillati; Mycoplasmatota; Mollicutes; Acholeplasmatales; Acholeplasmataceae. The record is from RNAcentral.
GAAACGACUGCUAAGACUGGAUAGGAAAAGUGAAGGCAUCUUUACUUUUUUAAAAGACCUUCUUUGAAGGUAUGCUUAAGGAGGGGCUUGCGACACAUUAGUUAGUUGGCAGGGUAAAGGCCUACCAAGACUAUGAUGUGUAGCUGGACUGAGAGGUUGAACAGCCACAUUGGGACUGAGACACGGCCCAAACUCCUACGGGAGGCAGCAGUAGGGAAUUUUCGGCAAUGGAGGAAACUCUGACCGAGCAACGCCGCGUGAACGACGAAGUACCUCGGUAUGUAAAGUUCUUUUAUUAAGGAAGAAAAAAGAGUGGAAAAACUCCCUUGACGGUACUUAAUGAAUAAGCCCCGGCUAAUUAUGUGCCAGCAGCCGCGGUAAUACAUAAGGGGCGAGCGUUAUCCGGAAUUAUUGGGCGUAAAGGGUGCGUAGGCGGUUUAAUAAGUCUAUAGUUUAAUUUCAGCGCUUAACGCUGUUGUGCUAUAGAAACUGUUUUACUAGAGUGAGAUAGAGGCAAGCGGAAUUCCAUGUGUAGCGGUAAAAUGCGUAAAUAUAUGGAGGAACACCAGAGGCGUAGGCGGCUUGCUGGGUCUUUACUGACGCUGAGGCACGAAAGCGUGGGGAGCAAACAGGAUUAGAUACCCUGGUAGUCCACGCCGUAAACGAUGAGUACUAAGUGUCGGGUAAAACCGGUACUGAAGUUAACACAUUAAGUACUCCGCCUGAGGAGUACGUACGCAAGUAUGAAACUUAAAGGAAUUGACGGGACUCCGCACAAGCGGUGGAUCAUGUUGUUUAAUUCGAAGAUACACGAAAAACCUUACCAGGUCUUGACAUUUUCUUGCGAAGUUAUAGAAAUAUAAUGGAGGUUAUCAGGAAAACAGGUGGUGCAUGGUUGUCGUCAGCUCGUGUCGUGAGAUGUUAGGUUAAGUCCUAAAACGAGCGCAACCCUUGUCGUUAAUUGCCAGCAUGUAAUGAUGGGGACUUUAACGAGACUGCCAAUGAAAAAUUGGAGGAAGGUGGGGAUUACGUCAAAUCAUCAUGCCCCUUAUGAUCUGGGCUACAAACGUGAUACAAUGGUUGAUACAAAGAGUAGCUGAAACGCGAGUUCUUAGCCAAUCUCACAAAAUCAAUCUCAGCUCGGAUUGAAGUCUGCAACUCGACUUCAUGAAGUUGGAAUCGCUAGUAAUCGUGAAUCAGCAUGUCGCGGUGAAUACGUUCUCGGGGUUUGUACACACCGCCCGUCA